RNAcentral lists this ribosomal RNA (301 nucleotides) under uncultured bacterium. RNAcentral's name for it is "partial 16S ribosomal RNA". It matches the Rfam family "Bacterial small subunit ribosomal RNA", at positions 509 to 807 of the family's 1533-position model. The record is from RNAcentral.
CAGUCGCCGCGGGAAUACAGAGGGUGCGAGCGUUAAUCGGAUUUACUGGGCGUAAAGCGUGCGUAGGCGGCUUCUUAAGUCGGAUGUGAAAUCCCUGAGCUUAACUUAGGAAUUGCAUUCGAUACUGGGAAGCUAGAGUAUGGGAGAGGAUGGUAGAAUUCCAGGUGUAGCGGUGAAAUGCCUAGAGAUCUGGAGGAAUACCGAUGGCGAAGGCAGCCAUCUGGCCUAAUACUGACGCUGAGGUACGAAAGCAUGGGGAGCAAACAGGAUUAGAUACCCCCGUAGUCCCUGUCUCUUAUAC